CUUUCCGCUGGGAAAGGAAUUCUUCAUUUCACUCUAGUCACUUCAGUAUGUCAAAUGAAAAGGUAUUUUCUUGCAGUUCCUCUCCCUAGCCCCUGGCGAGACAGAGGAGACAGUCUGCCUCUGAGAGUCAAGGCAAACAAAAGAGCAUUUCUCCAUGACAGCCUCUUAGCCCUCCCUUCCCGCAUCUCUCUUUAUCCCAAAUCUCUGCUCGCUUGAGCAUUUGAAGAGACACAACUGCCAAGGAAGUGAGAAAGGAGAAGCAAGAAAAUAAGCCCUAUUGCUAAAAUAUUGCAAUGAUUACAAAGAUGAAGAUGCUCUCUCCUCUUCUCUUUCUGAGCCUGGUACUUGGGACUAAUGCGACACCUUCAGUCCGGCUUUCCUGUUACAGGAAAAUAUUAAAAGAUCACAACUGUCACAACAUCCCAGCAGGAGUAGCCAGUCUCCGGCCAAUUGAUGGUCAUCUUCAAGAUCACUUUUGGGAAGGGAAAGGCUGCGAGAUGGUCUGUUACUGCAACUUUAAUGAACUACUCUGCUGUCCAAAGGAUAUCUUUUUUGGACCAAAGAUUUCAUUUGUGAUUCCUUGUAACAGCCCCUGAAGAAUACAUCAGAUUUGAGAAAGGAAGAUAAAUAUCAGACUCAGAUGCCGAAGACUGGAUCAAACUCUAUACUUUUUAUAUCAUGGAAUACUUCUUGUGAAAGAGAAGUUUCAUAUGGACAUUAUUUCUAUGCAACUGCCAUAGUUUUCUCUAACCAGGACUAACAGAUCAAUACUAACUAUGUUUAUGCCAAAGUAAAUACGCUUGGUGUUAUUGAUACAGCUAAAAUAAUUGUGCUUGUUAAUCACAACUAGCUUAUGGCACACUGAUUUCAAUGGAUGUAUUCACAAUGUAGUAUUUGACAUAACUUUUGCUGCUCGGCACUAUGGCUCGGCACUAUGGAAUCAUGUGCAACCUGUUUCAGUGGGGCACCAACACUCUUUGUAAAACUACAAUUUUCAUGAUUCCAUAACAUUUCGCCAUGGCAAUUAAAGUGGUGUCAAACUACAUUGACUCUACAGUGGAGAUGCGUUCAAUGUAUCAACACUGGUUUUAGCUAUAUAAUUGCUUUACUGAUGUUGCUUAGCCACCUGUAACCCACCACCAGAAUCCAUGUUUAACUGUUAAAGCAAGAUAUAAUUGUUAACACAAAAGCUUUAAUUCUUAGCCAAUAAACUGAAUUACUAUG
Molecule: long non-coding RNA, 1224 nt
Organism: Anolis carolinensis (green anole)
Lineage: Eukaryota; Metazoa; Chordata; Lepidosauria; Squamata; Anolidae
Gene: scrg1
Product: stimulator of chondrogenesis 1
Exons: 3
Source: RefSeq, a predicted model, not a curated record